Molecule: long non-coding RNA, 791 nt
Filed under: Homo sapiens (human)
Lineage: Eukaryota; Metazoa; Chordata; Mammalia; Primates; Hominidae
Description: HSALNT0175899
Source: RNAcentral
UUUCUUUAUUUGAAGGAAUGGUACAAAUCAAAGAACUUAAGUGGAUGUUUUGGUACAACUUAUAGAAAAGGUAAAGGAAACCCCAACAUGCAUGCACUGCCUUGGUGACCAGGGAAGUCACCCCACGGCUAUGGGGAAAUUAGCCCGAGGCUUAGCUUUCAUUAUCACUGUCUCCCAGGGUGUGCUUGUCAAAGAGAUAUUCCGCCAAGCCAGAUUCGGGCGCUCCCAUCUUGCGCAAGUUGGUCACGUGGUCACCCAAUUCUUUGAUGGCUUUCACCUGCUCAUUCAGGUAAUGUGUCUCAAUGAAUGACUGAUUCACAUUUUUUUCCAAAUGUAAUGCACACUCCAUUGCAUUCAGCCCGCUCUCCCAGUCAUCACAGUCUGGUUUCUGAAUGAGAAUAGGUUAAUGCAUCUCUACCAACUAACCUAGAAGUCAGCAAGCCCAUCAUCUCUAACCACCACGUUUUGGCAAAAGGGACAUUACUAUUUGCCUAAUUUAGUUUAGAUGGUAAGCCUAAAAAAGCACAAAAGGCAAAAGCCCAGUGUAUCAUCACUUUAUAAGGGCAAUUGCUAGUUUAAGUGAUUUCUGAUACCCGAACACUGCCAGAUGAUGAAGUAUGACACCCCUAGGAUCUUUUGUUCACCUUGAUAUCCUGAAGGAAGAUUCGGCCACCUCGUUGGUUCUGCAGCUUCAUCAGUUUCUCAGCAUGUUCCCUCUCCUCAUGAGAUUGGUGAAGAAAGUAUUUGGCAAAGUUCUUCAAAGCCACAUCAUCGCGGUCAAAGUAGUAAGA